UUCUCCUGGAAAAGGGUGGUAAUGCCGGAUGCUCCAGUUGAUCGCAUGGUCUUCUGGGAAAGCUUUCGCGGUAUGGGAUGGGGUCGCGUCCUAUCAGCUUGACGGCGGGGUAACGGCCCACCGUGGCUUCGACGGGUAGCCGGCCUGAGAGGGCGACCGGCCACAUUGGGACUGAGAUACGGCCCAGACUCCUACGGGAGGCAGCAGUGGGGAAUAUUGCACAAUGGGCGCAAGCCUGAUGCAGCGACGCCGCGUGAGGGAUGGAGGCCUUCGGGUUGUAAACCUCUUUUAUCGGGGAGCAAGCGAGAGUGAGUUUACCCGUUGAAUAAGCACCGGCUAACUACGUGCCAGCAGCCGCGGUAAUACGUAGGGUGCAAGCGUUAUCCGGAAUUAUUGGGCGUAAAGGGCUCGUAGGCGGUUCGUCGCGUCCGGUGUGAAAGUCCAUCGCUUAACGGUGGAUCCGCGCCGGGUACGGGCGGGCUUGAGUGCGGUAGGGGAGACUGGAAUUCCCGGUGUAACGGUGGAAUGUGUAGAUAUCGAA
Molecule: ribosomal RNA, 541 nt
Filed under: Bifidobacterium longum
Lineage: Bacteria; Bacillati; Actinomycetota; Actinomycetes; Bifidobacteriales; Bifidobacteriaceae
Description: bacterial SSU rRNA
Rfam family: Bacterial small subunit ribosomal RNA
Source: RNAcentral